UACGUAGGGUGCGAGCGUUGUCCGGAAUUAUUGGGCGUAAAGGGCUCGUAGGCGGUCUGUCACGUCGGGAGUGAAAACACGGGGCUUAACCCCGUGCCAGCUUCCGAUACGGGCAGACUAGAGGUAUGCAGGGGAGAACGGAAUUCCUGGUGUAGCGGUGAAAUGCGCAGAUAUCAGGAGGAACACCGGUGGCGAAGGCGGUUCUCUGGGCAUUACCUGACGCUGAGGAGCGAAAGUGUGGGGAGCGAACAGG
Molecule: ribosomal RNA, 253 nt
Filed under: uncultured bacterium
Lineage: Bacteria
Description: partial 16S ribosomal RNA
Rfam family: Bacterial small subunit ribosomal RNA
Source: RNAcentral